Molecule: long non-coding RNA, 633 nt
Organism: Tympanuchus pallidicinctus (lesser prairie-chicken)
Lineage: Eukaryota; Metazoa; Chordata; Aves; Galliformes; Phasianidae
Exons: 2
Source: RefSeq, a predicted model, not a curated record
UCCUCCUUCUCUAAUGGACUGCAAGUCAUGCUGUAGGAGCAAUUGUCUUUAAACUCUCUGCAACUUUGCAGUUCAAGAGGGCUCAAAGGAAGCCUCACACUGCUCUCCCUUGCUGAUGGAAAACAGGAAUGAAUAUUUAACUGGCAAUGAUGACGAAUGAAGAUUUCACAUUAGAGCGGGGUUCCUGGGACUGUCCCAUUCUCCUCUUCACCCACUGUGUUGCUCUCUCUGUGGGUCACCAUCAGAGAAGGGGAUACAACAAAGCCUGAGAAACCUCCCAUGUCUGAAUGUAAGGUGCACCUUGCCUGCCAGGUCCAUAGGUACCUAGCUGCAUGCCUGAAUGUUGGAUAGCUGUCCAGCAAGAGACUUCAUCUCCUCUUCACUGUGCCAUGAAUCCUGGCACCACUGUAGUAGGUAGAGAGGGGAGCAUGGGAGAAAGUUGAGCUGGUAGAGGAAAAUUAGGGAGUGGGAGAAGGGUUGUCUUUGCUUUCACUUUAGAUAUCUUAAUUGAGGAAAUACCAGACUGAAUUCAUGGACACGUCCUCAAGAGGGAGGGAGACAGAGAGAGGAAAAUAUUUGAGAAAAUGCAGUUUGACUUCCUGGAAGAUUAAAAAAAGUAUAUACAUCAAUUGA